UGUUUACCUGUGUGACUGCGUACCUUUUGUAUAAUGGGUCAGCGACUUAUAUUCUGUAGCAAGGUUAACCGAAUAGGGGAGCCGGAGGGAAACCGAGUCUUAAUUGGGCGUUAAGUUGCAGGGUAUAGACCCGAAACCCGGUGAUCUAGCCAUGGGCAGGUUGAAGGUUGGGUAACACUAACUGGAGGACCGAACCGACUAAUGUUGAAAAAUUAGCGGAUGACCUGUGGCUGGGGGUGAAAGGCCAAUCAAACCGGGAGAUAGCUGGUUCUCCCCGAAAGCUAUUUAGGUAGCGCCUCGUGAAUUCAUCUCCGGGGGUAGAGCACUGUUUCGGCUAGGGGGCCAUCCCGGCUUACCAACCCGAUGCAAACUGCGAAUACCGGAGAAUGUUAUCACGGGAGACACACGGCGGGUGCUAACGUCCGUCGUGAAGAGGGAAACAACCCAGACCGCCAGCUAAGGUCCCAAAGUCAUGGUUAAGUGGGAAACGAUGUGGGAAGGCCCAGACAGCCAGGAUGUUGGCUUAGAAGCAGCCAUCAUUUAAAGAAAGCGUAAUAGCUCACUGGUCGAGUCGGCCUGCGCGGAAGAUGUAACGGGGCUAAACCAUGCACCGAAGCUGCGGCAGCGANNGUUGGGUAGGGGAGCGUUCUGUAAGCCUGUGAAGGUGGCCUGUGAGGGUUGCUGGAGGUAUCAGAAGUGCGAAUGCUGACAUAAGUAACGAUAAAGCGGGUGAAAAGCCCGCUCGCCGGAAGACCAAGGGUUCCUGUCCAACGUUAAUCGGGGCAGGGUGAGUCGACCCCUAAGGCGAGGCCGAAAGGCGUAGUCGAUGGGAAACGGGUUAAUAUUCCCGUACUUGGUGUUACUGCGAAGGGGGGACGGAGAAGGCUAUGUUGGCCGGGCGACGGUUGUCCCGGUUUAAGCGUGUAGGUGUGUGUUCCAGGUAAAUCCGGUUCACUUUAACACUGAGGCGUGAUGACGAGGCACUACGGUGCUGAAGUAACAAAUGCCCUGCUUCCAGGAAAAGCCUCUAAGCAUCAGGUAACAUCAAAUCGUACCCCAAACCGACACAGGUGGUCAGGUAGAGAAUACCAAGGCGCUUGAGAGAACUCGGGUGAAGGAACUAGGCAAAAUGGUGCCGUAACUUCGGGAGAAGGCACGCUGACACGUAGGUGAAGUGAUUUACUCACGGAGCUGAAGUCAGUCGAAGAUACCAGCUGGCUGCAACUGUUUAUUAAAAACACAGCACUGUGCAAACACGAAAGUGGACGUAUACGGUGUGACGCCUGCCCGGUGCCGGAAGGUUAAUUGAUGGGGUCAGCGCAAGCGAAGCUCCUGAUCGAAGCCCCGGUAAACGGCGGCCGUAACUAUAACGGUCCUAAGGUAGCGAAAUUCCUUGUCGGGUAAGUUCCGACCUGCACGAAUGGCGUAAUGAUGGCCAGGCUGUCUCCACCCGAGACUCAGUGAAAUUGAACUCGCUGUGAAGAUGCAGUGUACCCGCGGCAAGACGGAAAGACCCCGUGAACCUUUACUAUAGCUUGACACUGAACAUUGAGCCUUGAUGUGUAGGAUAGGUGGGAGGCUUUGAANNCCGGGUUGCGGACAGUGUCUGGUGGGUAGUUUGACUGGGGCGGUCUCCUCCUAAAGAGUAACGGAGGAGCACGAAGGUUGGCUAAUCCUGGUCGGACAUCAGGAGGUUAGUGCAAUGGCAUAAGCCAGCUUGACUGCGAGCGUGACGGCGCGAGCAGGUGCGAAAGCAGGUCAUAGUGAUCCGGUGGUUCUGAAUGGAAGGGCCAUCGCUCAACGGAUAAAAGGUACUCCGGGGAUAACAGGCUGAUACCGCCCAAGAGUUCAUAUCGACGGCGGUGUUUGGCACCUCGAUGUCGGCUCAUCACAUCCUGGGGCUGAAGUAGGUCCCAAGGGUAUGGCUGUUCGCCAUUUAAAGUGGUACGCGAGCUGGGUUUAGAACGUCGUGAGACAGUUCGGUCCCUAUCUGCCGUGGGCGCUGGAGAACUGAGGGGGGCUGCUCCUAGUACGAGAGGACCGGAGUGGACGCAUCACUGGUGUUCGGGUUGUCAUGCCAAUGGCACUGCCCGGUAGCUAAAUGCGGAAGAGAUAAGUGCUGAAAGCAUCUAAGCACGAAACUUGCCCCGAGAUGAGUUCUCCCUGAGACUUAAAGUCUCCUGAAGGAACGUUGAAGACGACGACGUUGAUAGGCCGGGUG
RNAcentral lists this ribosomal RNA (2221 nucleotides) under Salmonella enterica subsp. enterica serovar Dublin. RNAcentral describes it as "bacterial LSU rRNA". It matches the Rfam family "Bacterial large subunit ribosomal RNA", at positions 582 to 2867 of the family's 2925-position model. Lineage: Bacteria; Pseudomonadati; Pseudomonadota; Gammaproteobacteria; Enterobacterales; Enterobacteriaceae. The record is from RNAcentral.